Molecule: long non-coding RNA, 365 nt
Filed under: Sciurus vulgaris (Eurasian red squirrel)
Lineage: Eukaryota; Metazoa; Chordata; Mammalia; Rodentia; Sciuridae
Description: lncRNA (ENSSVLG00005012461.1)
Source: RNAcentral
CUACAGUCGGUGCGGGCGCAGUUUCCUCCCUAAGUUCCGCCCCGAGCGCGCCGGCUCCGCCCCGCGCCCUUCUAGCUCCCGCCGGCCCCCAGCUGCUAGCCCCCUACUCGGCGGGGCCUCCCCCUGGGAGCCCCCCCAGUUCCCGGCUUGCGCUGGUGCGGCCUCUUCGUCACCAGUGCUUGGGGCCUCCUGGUCAGGAUUCCUCCCAGGUGCUGCGGAUGGAGGCGUGGGGUAGCCUUGGAACCCCGUAGACUAUUUUCGAAUCCCAGCUCUGCCAGUAAAUAGCCUGUGACUUUGAGUAAGUGUUUUUAACCACCUUAAAGACGUUUCCUCUUCUGUAAAAUGGAAACACAAACUGUAGUGCC